CAUCUCUGGUAUAAUUGACAAAUCGUUGCUGGUUAUAGUAGAUAUAAUUGAUCUAGUUAACAUUCUUGUUAGCGGUGAUGAGUGGGAUCAAGGAUUCGAAUCCUGCCGACACCUCAUCUCUGGCCUUGAAUUCAUUUGGUACCCCCCUUGGUACUCCAAUGGCAUCGAUAUAUAUACGUGUGGGUCGAAACUACCUCGAAUGGGGGUUUCUCUUUUUACUCUAAGAUACGUGUGUGGUGAAUCGUAUGGGCCUUGGUGAUUAUCAGAAAUUAUGUGUAUGGGCAUAAUAAGUUUGGUGAGAGCACACUCUCUCCAUCACAGGCCAGUCAUUUCUGAUCUGAGCUGCAUGUCACCACAUAGCCAAUAAAUGUCUCCCACGGACUUAACUUGAUUUACUAAUAGGGCAGUGGGAGGUUCUCGAUAAGUGGCACAGUAGCCAGAAGGGAAUUUACCUACAAAUUUACCUGUAGCUCCAUGUAUUGUGUAGUUACCUGGGUACACAGUGAUUCCAUCAGGUGGCCUGGUACUCCCUUGGGUUAGUGGGUAAACCUUUUUCCAUGAUUCACACACUGAUGAAUUUACUUUUGACUGUGCAUAAAGGCUUAAGAAACACAUUUCAACAUCUGGAGGUAAGGAUUUCCCAUUUAUAUCAACUCUAUCUAAGGCUUUUUGUGGUCUGUAGCCCCAUGGUCGACCCGUAUUCCAACCCGCUGCUACAGUGAUGUCCCUAAUGCCCACCCAUCACACAAAUAUAUGGGUCCUUUUUGUUUGUUAUGUCUUUGUAUAUUGCUGAGUGUUGUGACGGUGGAAAGGUACAAGGAAAAAUAUCACAGUAAUCAAAGGUAAAAGUAGCUACAUGUGUGUUUGAAAAGUUAUACCAGAAUGUAUAAACAUGAUUAUCUUUGGUAAUAGCAACUUGUUGGGCCUUUAAAAGGCCUAGCAGCAGACAUAGGCACAGGAAACUCAUGAUUUGGCAGGAUCUGCUUCCUCUGGAUCAGGGACUUUCUUGCAGUGCGAGGCGUAUAUCCAGGUAUUCUUCCCAGCCAACUUUACAGAGGUAGAUGUAGUCAAUAGGACCUGGAAUGGACCAUCGAACCUUGGCUCAAGAGUGUGUUUUCUUAGGAACUUCUUGACCAUGACCCAGUCACCAGGAAGUAACUUAUGUGUGCCCGUAUCUGUCUCGGGAUCUGGAAUAGAAGAAAACACCUGUGCAUGGAUUUUGGUCAAGGCAUGAGAGAGUGCAGUUAUAUAAUCUACCAUUGCGUCUGACUGAAUUUGAAGUUGCUGAGGAAAAUAACAGCCUAACCUGGGUGUUGUUCCAAACAAGAUUUUAUAGGGGGACAGGUUGAACUUCCCUCUUGGGGUGUACCUUACACUGAACAAUGCUAUGGGAAGACUCUCUGGCCAGGGUAGGUUAGUUUCUUGGGACAUUUUAAGCAUUCUGGCUUUCAGAGUGCCAUUCAGGCGUUCUACCUUAUCACUACUCUGUGGGUGAUAAGGUGUGUGGAAUGCAAGGGUCACCCCCAGUGCUGCCCAGAUCUCUUUGGUUAGCACCGCGGUGAAGGAUUUACCCUGGUCACUUUCAAUUACUUAAGGGACUCCGUAUCUGCAGAUGAUUUCGGUGAGUAGACGCUUUGCUGUGGUUUUCGCAGUGAGAUUAGCGACUGGGAAAGCUUCUGGCCAUCCUGAAAACAUAUCCACUAUGACCAGUACGUAUUCGUACCGGCCACUCUUUGGCAUUUGGAUAUGGUCAAUUUGGAUCCUCUGGAAAGGGUACUGUGGUUUGGCCAAAUGGUUUGGUGCAUCUUUGAUUAUUUUCCCUGGAUUACAUUUAGCGCAGAUGGUGCAGGAUCUGCAGUAAUUUCGUGUCAAGGUAGUGAUUCUGGUUGCUUCAAAAUAUUUAUCAAUCAAAGAGUUCAUGAGGUGCUUAGAUAAGUGAGCUGGUCCAUGGGCCCACUGAACAACAGCUGGAUACAUAUUGCUCGGUAGACAGAAUUUGAGAUUGAUUGAUUGUGUAUACUUCAUUCUGAAGGGUUGCUCCUUUGUCUUUCCAGCUUUGUUUUUCUUGAGGGGUAGCGGUGGCCUGUUGUUCUCUUAGGAGCUUGAUCGGUGGGUAGGGUUUGCAUAGUGUAAAUGGGAGUCUUUUCGACGGACACUGUUCUGUCCACUUCCCGACACUGGCGCGCCGCACCCAUAGCGGCCUGGUCGGCUAAAUGAUUGCCCUGUGCUUCUUCUGAGUUUAGUUUCCCGUGGGCCUUUACCUUCAGUAUGACCACCUCUUCUGGAAAUAGUAAGGCAUCCAUUAAAUCUUUGAUAGCUGCUCCAUGUUUCACAGGAGUACCUGUUGCUGUAAGGAACCCCCUGGUUUUCCAGAUUAGGCCAAAGUCAUGUGCCACGCCUAGGGCAUACCUUGAGUCUGUAUAAAUAUUGACACGCUUCCCUUCAGACAUCUUGCAUGCCACCGUAAGGGCUAUUAGUUCGGCUUCUUGUGCUGACUUAGAUGAGGGGAGUGAGGAUGCUUAGAGUAUUUGGUCCUCUGUGGUGACUGCAUAUCCAGUAUGAUAUUGUCCCUGCUCAUCUGCAAAUAUAGAACCAUCCACAAACAGAGUGUAGUCAGGGUCCGGUAGAGCAGCCUCGUGCACUGUUGGGAGAUGGGUUGUUUCCAUUUUCAUCUGUUCAAAACAAUCAUGGGGGGCGUCUGGGUCCUGUUCUGUAGGAGGGAUGUCCUCACAUAUCUCUGUGUGAUAUCGAGGGUAACCAACAGUUUUGCAAUUUACGGUCCUCUUAUUGACCCCCGUCACUGAAAGUUGUUCUUGAGUUGCAGUACUCCGUGUUUUGGCCAUGGGGCCGAGUUCUUUCCAUGAGCGAUCUGGAGACUUGGUGAAAGAGACAUGAAGAACAGCCACCUCCCGAUGGUGAUAUAAAUGUGAUACCUCCAUAGGCUGGUAGACUAGGAUAACAAUGUUUCCUUUGGAGUCACAGAACAGGUCUGUCAGUGUGACGUGUAUUUCCACCAGGCUGAAUAAUUCUUUUUCAUAGUAUGUGUCAGGACCUGGGGUGUCCUUGAACCACAGGGUGCAAUGUAAGUGGCUCUCGGGCUGUUCAUCAUGUGGAACUGUGGGCUUUUCUACUUGAAGUUCCAUGUGAACAUCAGGAUUUAUGUCCAGGCUGUACCAGUAUUGUGGCACUCCCCCUUGGGAAGUGGCAGAAGAGUGGCUGGAUUCAAGAAAUAACAUCUUUGUAGGGUAACGUGGAGAGAGGAGAGAGGUUUGAAGUCGGAGAUGUCUCUGGGAUGAGAGAUGCUUGGGCUGGACUUCAUUCAGUAUUGCAGCGAUAUCAUGGGGAGCAAGAACCGUCAGUUUAUGUCCGAGAACAAAGUCAUUAGUCUUGUCCAGUAGGGCACUUGCAGCAAAAACAGCAUGCAAACAUGAAGGACCACCCCUGGCCACGGGGUCAAGCAUGCAGGAAAAGUACCCAACAGGGCGCUGACGGGAACCGUGGGAUUGAGUAAGGACCCCUGAAGCAUGGCUCAUCUUCUCUGAGACGUAGAGUUUGAAUGGUAGCUGGUAGUUAGGGAGGCCCAAAGCAAUGGCAGAAGAGAUGGCUCUUUGAAGAGCAUGGUAACAGGUGAGGGCUGUAGAGGACAAUGAAAAAGGUUCAGUCUUCAAAGCAUCGUAGAGAGGUUGCAUGAGUUGAGAAGCCUCAGGGAUCCAAGAUCUGCAGUAUGUGAUGAGGCCUAAGAAGGCAUGAAGAGCUUGAUGGUUAGAUGGAAGGGAGAGAUUUGUAAUGGCAAGUAUUCUGUUUUUCAUUAGGUGAGGGGGGCCAUGGGAAAGGCAAUGUCCCAAAAAGACCACAGAGGGCCGGCACAACGGGAGUUUCGUCUUGGAGGCUUUACAACCUUCUUCAGCGAGGAAACAAAGGAGAUCUUCGGAAUUCUGUUCAGCAGUUUGAAAAUCAUCUGCACAGAGAAGUAAAUCAUCGACAUACUGGAGCAGGACCACAUCUGGGUGGGAUUUCUGCCAGGGCUCUAGGACAGCUGACAUAGCUUUGGCGAACUGGGUUGGGGAAUUUUGAGGCAUAACAGUCCAAGUAUACUGUUGACGAACAUGUGUGAAAGCAAACAGAUAUUGACAAGAGGUGUCCAAGGGCACGCUGAAAAAGGCAUUUGCAAGAUCAACUACCGUGAAGUAUUUAGCUGCUGGAGGAACUUGUGACAACAGUGUAUGUGGAUUAGGGACAACAGCAGUAUCAUGAGUUGUGACGUCAUUAACAGCGCGGAGGUCUUGAACCAUACGGUAUUGGUCAGGUUGGCCUUUUUCAGUUUUCUUCUUUACUGGAAAUAGAGGGGUGUUACGCUGUAAUACACACUUCACCAGUGCUCCUUUUGUCAGCAGGCUAUCAAAUUGUUUGGAAAUGACGAGGGCUUGUGCAGGUUUCAAUGGAUACUGUGGUCUUCGUGGUGGACUAGCUCCCUUGAUUAAUCUAACGACCACAGGUGGGACUCGUAGGCGUCCGAUGUAAUCUGGGCCUGUGGACCAAAGCUUAGUUGGAACCCUAUCCAGGGCACUGGGGGCUUCUGGGGCCCUUGCCUCCUCGGUGGGGGAUGUCACGUAGAGUAGUAGUAGGGGCAAAGAGCAAAGGACAGAAGUAUCUUUGCGAGAAAGGGGGGUUAGUAAUUGAACCUGGCCAUCAGCAGUAAAGGAGAUAGAAGCUUGAAGACGAGACAGAACAUCUGCUCCUAAAAGGUGAAUUGGACAGGUGGAUGAAACAACGAACCGAGAGAGAAUGCAAGAGCUUAGUCAGCGGGUUAUUUCUGGGGGUACCAUCGACACCUACACAAGAAACAUCUGUGUCAGAUAGGAAAGAUGGGUCAGGCAGGUCUUGUUCUCUGAGAACACUGCGUGCUGCACCUGUGUAAACUAAAAAGGUAGUUGGAUGACCCUCAACUGGAAGAACAACUGUAGCUAGGGGUCCCCCCUUGUCCCCUUUCAUAACAGGAGUAUUAGACACAGGUUUGCCGGUUACCUAUUGUACAAGGUCUAGAUGAGAAUGAUCAGGGCCAGUGUAAUGACGUGUAGGUUUGGUGGAGUGGCUGGCCUGAUGGGUCUGACGUGUAGGGCGAUAGUGACUCGGUGCUGGGUGUUCAUCUUGUUGGAAAGCAUGCCCCUGGCUGAGGUCUAGGUGCCAUAUGUUGUCCCUGCGCAGCUGGCAGGGUGGGUAGCGUGGGAUAACCUGGAG
Pelobates cultripes (western spadefoot toad) is the source of this 5238-nucleotide non-coding RNA. Lineage: Eukaryota; Metazoa; Chordata; Amphibia; Anura; Pelobatidae. The record is from the annotation of a GenBank genome assembly.